RNAcentral lists this long non-coding RNA (876 nucleotides) under Homo sapiens (human). RNAcentral describes it as "HSALNT0302655". The record is from RNAcentral. Lineage: Eukaryota; Metazoa; Chordata; Mammalia; Primates; Hominidae.
CCACCACCAUCUUGGGAGCUCUGGGAGCAAGGACCACCUGGUAACAAUAGGCCAAAUACUGUGCUGAUAAGUUAUUGCUCAAUGUUCAGACUCUUGCUUCAAGAUCAACUGAAGUGCUUUCUUGAAAGCCUGCCCUGAAUCCUCAUCUAUUGAUGGAGAUGGUGUCAUCUUGCCUUGAUUGUAUCCAGAAGCUUCAUCCCCAAGAUAAAGGAUGGACAUCUCUCCGAUGACCAGCUUCUUUUGCUCGACUCUAGAGAAGGUUGCUUUCUGCAUUCUGGCAACUGCCCUCUGUCUACAUGAUUAGACUCGUUGGUUGCAGUGCUUUCUGGAGUAAUGAAGGGAUCCAGUGCACAGGGUUUAACUUACUGGGCACAAUCUCUAAGCCAACUCUGCCUGAAUGGGUCCCCUGUUUUUUCUCUUCUGCUCUUGUUGAACCAUAUCUCUGUUCCUUGUGCUCCUGGGAAUUUCUUGCUCUGGUCAUGAAAAAAAUGGAAACUCUCUCAAGGAAUAACAAUCAGAGCUGUCUGGUUGACAAGGGACAUUAUGGUUGCAAGAAGACCCUGAAGCAAGGAUUCUACAUCAAAGAUUCAGGGGCAAUCUGAGUUUGCAUUUAAGAUCCUUCUGCCUAUAGCAGUAGCUUAUAUGUUAUGUUCAAUUGACGUAUAAGCACUGUGAAGAAAUAUUCUAUUACAACCUCUUAUGACAUUAGCAUUGUAUAUUUCAGAAUGUAAUUGUAGACAGAAAGUUGGUAUAUUUAAUUCAAAUUAUGAUUAUUCUUUAAAAACAAAACUUGAAAAUUCAGUUUAUCUACAUAAUUGGCUUAAGUAUUUGUUGCAUGCCUAUUCCAUACCAAGCAAUGAGCAAGGUGUUAUAAAA